This 204-nucleotide ribosomal RNA is filed under the name uncultured Lactobacillus sp. Its description in RNAcentral is "partial 16S ribosomal RNA". It matches the Rfam family "Bacterial small subunit ribosomal RNA", at positions 157 to 355 of the family's 1533-position model. Lineage: Bacteria; Bacillati; Bacillota; Bacilli; Lactobacillales; Lactobacillaceae. The record is from RNAcentral.
CAGAUGCUAAUACCGGAUANAACAGAUGAUGCCUAUCAACUGUUUAAAAGAUGGUUCUGCUAUCACUCUUGGAUGGACCUGCGGUGCAUUAGCUAGUUGGUAGGGUAACGGCCUACCAAGGCGAUGAUGCAUAGCCGAGUUGAGAGACUGAUCGGCCACAUUGGGACUGAGACACGGCCCAAACUCCUACGGGAGGCAGCAGCC